UGGAAGACUAGUGAUUUUGUUGUUGUGAAUGUCAAAGAACUAACAAAAAAUCACUGUCGGCCACUG
Molecule: microRNA precursor, 66 nt
Filed under: Strongylocentrotus purpuratus (purple sea urchin)
Lineage: Eukaryota; Metazoa; Echinodermata; Echinoidea; Camarodonta; Strongylocentrotidae
Description: Spu-Mir-7_pre stem-loop
Source: RNAcentral